RNAcentral lists this long non-coding RNA (409 nucleotides) under Sorghum bicolor (sorghum). RNAcentral describes it as "long non-coding RNA (SBIC_LNC001008)". Lineage: Eukaryota; Viridiplantae; Streptophyta; Magnoliopsida; Poales; Poaceae. The record is from RNAcentral.
GGGUGAACAUGGGCUAUCUUUUUCUCUUCUCUCUCUUUUAUUUUCAGGUGGGUAGUAGAUACCCCUAAUUCUACUGUCGGACACUUGUCCAUUUUUACCUCUCAUCUCACUCUCUUUUUUUUUCUUUUCCGAGGUUCUGGGCACUUGCCCCUUUUUAUUUCCUCGUAUAUUUUUGCAUAACCCAUGCCUCUUCUACAUUGAAUCUUCUUAGAGAGAGAGUAUAACAAUAUUCGGGACAGUGAGUGAAAAUAUUUUUUAGCAAUUUCAAUGAUUGGUGAUGAAUGCUGUGGUAGAUGUGUGCAAGUGAGUAUCUUAAUUUAACCAUAUGAAAAGCUCCUAAGGGUCUACACAGCUCGAUCAAACUCAAUGUGAAUAUAGGAAAAGAUGUUAUAGUAAGUAUGGCUGUGGU